GCCUACAGUCAUGCUACUCUGAACGUGCCUGAUCUUGUCUGAUCUCAGAAGCUAAGCAGCGUUGGGCCUGGUUAGUACUUGGAGGGGAGACUGCCUGGGAAUACUGGGUGCUGUAGGCU
Cercocebus atys (sooty mangabey) is the source of this 119-nucleotide ribosomal RNA. Lineage: Eukaryota; Metazoa; Chordata; Mammalia; Primates; Cercopithecidae. The record is from Ensembl.